AGACUGAAACUCCUCUGGCUUUCUCAUGCACACCCCGGCUAUGCUCUGUGUGGUCACGCCCUGGUCAUUGGGCAUCCUUUCGCCCCCUCGGAGGGAUGUCUAACCCGUCAGUCCCUUUUCUGUUAUUUAACCACUUAAUUAUCUGUGAUGUUUCCAAAGGCUGAGAAACCCCCUCAGCUGGGCCGGUCCAGCAGCCGCCCUGCCAGCUGCAGUGCACGCCAACCUCCCCAGGGCCCCUGCCCCUGAGUCUGUGCACAGGUGUGAGCGUCGCACCUUCCGGAGGAGCUUCUGAGGAUAAAAUCAGAUACUCUCCGGAAGAUUUCACACCGUGUAUGGAUCGGGCACGUGCCAGAAACACUUCUGCAAGCCCUGGAUGGGCGGGGCCUGUGUCGACACCACGGUGAUGCCUGCACAUGUCCUGGCCCCAGCUCCCGACAGCGACUUCGCUUGAAGCUCAUGCUUGGCGUGUGGCCUCUGGGGACGUGAGAUGGGUGUUAUUUCCUAACGUCCACGCAUGAAUUCAGUUGUGAAUUUACAUGCCACACGGGCUCUUAGCUGCUGCUUAGAUCAUUUAUCGCCACUUCGCCCCCCUCUUUCCACGAGGAAGCCAGGAAGCAGGAUGUUGAGUACUUUCUGGAGCCGUCUGAACCCCAUUCCUGUUCUCUGCCACCCUGUUAAUUGCAGAAGCAGCUACUCCUGCAUCAGAUUUGCUUUUCCUGCCUCUUAAGAUGUUGACAGCUUCAUGUAGGAAAAAGCAAAUAUGCUGUGUCUGCUGUCACUUAGUCAAGCAAUUAUAACGUAUUUUUUUCUUUGAAGACUUUUUAUACCUAAAGGGUUAUGUAUUCUUUACAAGGAGUACAUUUUAGGCAAAUUAUACUUAAAAUGCUGUUUGCAUCUUUUCCCCUUCAGAAUUGAAACAGUCAUAUCUGAGAAUGAGUUCAGCUAGCCCUUUCUGAGCAGGAGUGCAAGCUGCACCCUUCAGGGGUGGGGGGGUGGGGCUCCCCGUGGCACUGGGCCUGGCCAGAGUCCCAUCUCCCUGGGGCCCGAGUGGUCCCCUAGGGCCUGUGCCCUGGUGCUGAGGUGCACACCCCCAGAAACCCUGAGAGAAGACAGAGGCUGGCCCCUGCCCUUCCCAGUUGCCCUGAGUCAUGCCGAAAAUGUUUCAGAAAAAAAUUUUUGACAACGAAUCCCCAUCCAGAUCCACAAAGAACUUCUGGAGGUCCAGGUGUUGGUUGACACAGAAAAAAUGCACAACCUAAAAGUUAAGAGUUAAGUUUUAUUUGGGGCAAAAUGAGGACUUAAGAUCGGGGGGCAUCUCAAGUAACCCCGAGAAAAACCGUUUGGAGCAGGCAAGGGGGGAUGCAGGAUAGAUGGGGGUUUUGCAGCAAAGGGCAGGUCGUGGGGAGAAAAGAUUACUGCCCAAAGCAGAAAACCAGAGAUCUCAAGGGAAGGAAUGUAGUCUUUUCUAUGGGAAGGCGCAGGGGUCUGGGCUCCCUGAGAUCACCCCCAGUUAUCCGGGGCCGGGGCUGGGGGCUGGCGGCUGGCGGCUGCUGGUUGGCAGGUGAGCUUUGUUCCUUCCCGCCGACCGCCACGUGCACAUCUUACAGGUUCGCUGCUGGUUUCGCGAAGGUCAGACGACUCGAGAGGAGCAGACAUCAUCACUGUGAAGGGUUUCCGUGUUUUUCUAGAAGUGAGGAGGUGCAAGAAUGGGCCUUAUCAAGUCUUUUCCUGAAAAGAGCCAACUCGUUUUCCCGGAGCACAGAGGAGCUCCCCCCUGACUCCGUGGGGGGCGGCAGCUGCGGGGCUCGGGUUCUGUCUGCGUGCAGGCAGGUGGCCGGUGCCGUCGCCAGUCCACCCAGGUGUCCGCGUGAGAUCCCGCUUUGAGUCCCUUCCUGGCUGACCAGGUACUUCGUGACUCAGCGCCUUGCUGCGUUUAUUACGUGGUGCCCGUCUAGGAUCGAAAGUUUCCACGAUGUCAGGAAAAUAGAGCCCUGGUUCCAGCUGGUUCCCCUUGUCUGGUGCUCGUUUAUAAAACAGAACCCAAAAGUGUACGUCGUGACGUGUUUCACUCAAUGCGAAAGGCCUCUCAAAAGUCUUUUCAGAAUUAUUUUUGAGACGAAUAUGGAUUUUUUAAAAAAACCAAUAUCUUAAUUAUUUUAAACAAAUUCUUGCCUGCUCCCCAAAUCCCUGAUCCUUUUCCCUCGGUGUUUUGGGGGGGCAUAAUUUCCCCCCACUCCUCACGAGUUCUUUAGGUUGGCCUAAUAAUUACAUUGAAACAAGACGGAUUCACAGGAGGGAAAAAAGCAGUUUAAUUCAUAUGCAGGAAGGUCUCGUAGAAAUGGGACCCAAAGCGACCAAAGCAGACUGUUUAUGUAUCAUUUUUAGACAAAGAAACACUUACUUGUGAGGGGCUUGAGCUUGGGGUAGCCGACUAAUGGGGAAGUGGUGCAGGUUGUUUAUACGGCUUUCCUGGCCUCGAAGCCUCCCAGGAUCCGGUGACAAGGGUGCUUUCUGUCCUCCUGGAGCAACGGAGAAGGUCAUCGCAUGGACCGGGAAAUGUCCUACUUGUCCCCACGUUGUGGGGGACAGAGAAGAGUCAGUCACCGCAGUUUCUCAAGGACUGAUUCAAAAUAACAUGCUUUCGAGGUGUAUUUUGGGGCGGCCUGCUCCGGGCCUCACAUACAUGGUAUUAUUAAAGACUAAUAUCUAGAAAUGCAUAUUUUCAUGUUAAAAAUGACUACAAAAUGGAUCUGUCUGUUGAAGUCAAAGGAAAUUUGUAAUCAGUUAGUAAGCUGGUUGGCUGUUAGAAUCAUUUAUUUUUUCCUAGGGUAGCUAACCUAUCAUUCUAACGACCAAAUAAGAGGUCUCUUCAGAAGGGUGUUUCGACAGAGUCUUUCUAGCCAGAAUUUGGACCUUAUGAUUAUAAGGUAUUUCACAAAUCGAUUUUGGACAAUUUUGGUGUGAAGUUUUUUUUUUUUUUACUAAAACUGUCACAUUGAUGGAAAAUCAAUAUAAAUUAACGUCAAGAAAACAUCUCACAGUACGAGUGAAGUCACUUUGUCACCCUCUUAAAACUCCCACGGAACAUUUGUAUGUCACGGAAUGAGAGUCAAGGGUGUACAGGUGGCUGCAGGCCUGGGUCGGCACAGCGGAAGGUGAGGCUGAAAGAUGGGUCACUUCUGAUCUUCCUGCCUUCUUGGCAUUGCGGCCGUGUUGCUUCUGCUCCAAGCCCUUCUCUGGAGUCAUCUUACUGCCUGAGUUGUAAACACCCUGGCAGAAGCUCUCCUCUCAGGGCUUUUAUAAUGGCAGCAGUUUUCAAACCACGCUCACCAGGGAGUGGACCUCGCCACGACAAUAACACAAACAAGAGAGAAACCCAAGGUAUUUGGAACAAAUUUGUCAGGUGAAAUUCUCCACCAGACUUGCUCAUACUCGCAUCCCAGCUCAGGCUGGGGAACACUUGGUCUUGAACUUGCUUGCGCCCCACCACUCCCCAGGCAACUUGGGUCCCCCAGUGGGGAUGCUGUGGUGAGGACCAGCACGAGAGCACCCCUGAGGCCUUGCUGGCAAGCUCCGAGUCACACCAUGUACUCUAGGCUUGGAACACUUUCUUUUUUGUCAAUUGGUUUGUAAAUAGGAUUGCACAAAAAUCCAUGCAAAUCACCUCUCCGACUCAGAAUCUGCUGAGCUCAGAAGACCGUUGACUCAGAGGGGCUGGCUUUCAGUGGCAGGAGUGUGACAGAGCAGCUCUGCAUGGUGAUGCUUUAAAAAAGACAUGCAAGCUCGGUGCAUGAUAACUUCCAAUAAACCAGAAACGUCUAAGGCUGCCCACCUUCACCCGUUAUCCUUGUCCAUUUGCCCAGCCUGGCACUUACCUAUUAGGAACUGGUUAUGGGGGGGGGAGGCAUUUGCUAUUCGAACAUCGCAUUUAAGGUUCUGCUGCUGUUUCUUCUGACAUGCUAUUAGCUGCGUUUCAUCAGCUUGAAAUGUACUAAAAUCCAAACGUACUUUAUUAGUUUCUCAGGUGGCAUACCUAGGUAAAAUUCUAAAUUGAAAUACGAUUUUCAACCUAAUUGAAUACAUAAAAGAAAUGGUAACAAAUUUUAAAUGUCCUUAAAACUUCAGGAAGACGUGUUAAGCUCCUUCAGUCGAAGGGGCACUGCAAGACCAAGACUCGGGAUCCCAGGAAAAGCUGCCUGCCUCGGUCAGAGAGUCCCAUUAACCGCUGUGCUCAUUCACUUGGGUGAUGAAAAUUUUCAGAACGUUAUGUGGCCUGGACUUAGGAACACAAUUAAUGUCUCCUUUUUAUUUCUAUCAUCCCGCUCACCUGUUUUCACAGACAGCCGCCCAAACCAGCCGAGCACACACGUGCGCACACAGACACACAUGCACAGACAGGCACAACCCUUCACCUUCGUCCGUUUUUCAGCGCUCGUCUCCACAGAUCGGUGCACUGCCUGACCCAUGCUGCUUCCAGACUCUGCUGGAAAUAGCUUCACAUGUGCAACCUCCUGCCCAUUUGCCUCUGGGAGCUGUUAGGUAUGCGUGCGCUGCCCCCCCUUCUGGAAGGAACACCCACCGAGCUCUGGACACCCUUCACUUGCUCCAGACCUUUGUAACGCCCGCCCGUCGCUGGCGCUGCCUUGUAGGGUGUCAGAAAAUAGAUGAGCAGUAAAAACAGCGGGUUGGGCAAACGGAUGGCCAAAGACUGGACCCCCUGCCCCGCUGUGUUUCAAACUGAGUUCGCUCCCAUCGUAGGGCAUAGAAAGCAGGAUGAAAAUUGGACAGAAAUGCAUGGUAGUGCCUCUGUGUCAGCACAGUGUCGAACAGACGCCCGCGUGGUCGGUGCUGCGUGGUGCUCAGUCGCUCAGUGUCUGAGAUCAGGAUCAGGUGUCAGGAUCAGGACAGAUUGUGACAGGAUAUUACGCUCAGUGAUUCCAAGGAAAGUAUUUGGAUCAAAUCUUCUUUCUUUGUAAACCUGGGUGGAAAUGGGCUUUCCUGUUCUGUGCCAGAUGUGGUCUUUUUAGAAACACAUCAGUGCGACUAGCAUAGGGCCACACAGACAGUCCUUGACCACCCUUGACUAAACUGUCAACAUAAAAAAUCACAUUGAGUCUGUGAAAUUAUUUCCACGGAUGGAUAGAAUAGUAAAUAAAUAUUUU
This 5162-nucleotide long non-coding RNA is filed under the name Sus scrofa (pig). RNAcentral's name for it is "lncRNA (ENSSSCG00005015733.1)". The record is from RNAcentral. Lineage: Eukaryota; Metazoa; Chordata; Mammalia; Artiodactyla; Suidae.